Cervus elaphus (red deer) is the source of this 283-nucleotide long non-coding RNA. RefSeq lists it as uncharacterized. The transcript is spliced from 3 exons. The record is from RefSeq and is a predicted model, not a curated record. Lineage: Eukaryota; Metazoa; Chordata; Mammalia; Artiodactyla; Cervidae.
GCUGCCUGUCGGGCCCGAGUGCCGGCUCUCACGUUUGCGGGUGCUGAGCCGUUCCCUAAAUGGGACCUGGACAUCACUUAUGCACUGAAGAGGCCAAUGUGAAACUUACAUUUUUCAUAGGCUGGUUAUGGAACUGGAAAACUUCAAGGAGAUAUAUGAGCAGACAUGCAUGUGAAUGAUGCAUUUCACGCAAAUCAGAAAAACUCAGUUUUGAACUCUAACUCAAAAGGUGGGGGAAAUGUGUGAUGGGCUUGCAGAAAGUGGGUAGCUAUUGAGGUUCUUU